Molecule: non-coding RNA, 2266 nt
Organism: Cajanus cajan (pigeon pea)
Lineage: Eukaryota; Viridiplantae; Streptophyta; Magnoliopsida; Fabales; Fabaceae
Source: RefSeq, a predicted model, not a curated record
GUGAGUGAGUCUCUGCUUCAACUCACAGAUCAAAUGCGUUCCUUCAGCAGCACUGCCAACUGCCUCCUCUAUGGAUCAUAACGCUAACUGAAGAUUGCUCCAACGGAAGAAGUAAGUUCAAUGUGCUCGUGCAAAUCGAAAUCGUUGCCGACACCUUCCAUGCUCACCGGAGAACUCUCCACGCUCCUCAAUGUUUUCCCUCUCCAAGAACUCCACAUAAGCGACCAGAUCAAGCACGAGAUCGUUCCCAAUCAAGCGCAUCUCUCUUUGAUUUUCGACAAACUAGAGAUUCGCAAUGCGUCCAGCUGUAGAGCGGAGAUUGAGAGCCUGGAGGAAGAGAUUAUCAAUCGGAGCGAGGAACAAUCCAAAAUGGACCUCAUCACGUUGAUCGGCAUCGUUCGUUUCGCCAAGUGCAUCCUCUUCGACGCGUCAACGCCGUCGCCGAGAGCCGCCGUUCUGCAGCGGAACCAGUCGUCGGAGUUAACGAUUCCGACAGAUUAUUGGAAGGCGGCGACGCUAUUGAGGAUUUUGCGGCGGGGCUGGAUGCCGGAGAGAGUGAGGGAUUCUCAACUACCACCAUGGUAAUUUCUACUUCGGUGGCACAGUAACACUUUCAUUUCACUGUCAUGCGAUUAGUGACUGUGCUUUCUGUGUUACUGUGACACUAACAUAUUCAAUGUUGCUGGCAAGAGAGCGUCAUAAUUAUAAAAUGUUCAAAGCUGAAAUUGCAUUGAAUCACACUUGCCUUGAGGUAUGAUCAAACAUUUUUUGAGGAUGAAAACAGAAAUAGAAUGAUGGAGACUAAGGAACUUUUCGAGUGGGUCCUGGAGCAACCGUGUUUUGAGGUUCCACUUAAUGUAUGUGAGUGGUUCAAAGAUUACCAACCGGUUUCAACAGGGAAACAAGAGAUUGAGCAUGCAUAUGACUUCAAGAUGGAUAAUGUAUAUAUGCAAACUUGCCGCAGAAGGAUUCUCAAGUCAACAAUGAAAACGAAGCCAGUUUAAUAAAUAAUUCUGAUAUUCAACCGAAGGAGAGGUUGUCAAGUCAUACUACACAAGGUUGCAAGUCUGACUCCUUUAGGUUUGUUGAGUAUUGGGUUCCUGUACAAAUAUCUAAUGUGCAGCUCGAGCAGUAUUAUGAUAUUUUGCUUUCCAAUGCUUCAAUUCUUCGCUCAUCAUCAAAGGUUGAUAGUGGGGAGGCUGUUCGAGAUGUUCUUAUUUCAAUUCGAAAGGCCAUGGAGCUGUCUGGAACACUGCAAAAGUGGAGUCAGGGUCAAUUGUCGCUGUUUUUGGCCUUGGAACUGUUGGGCUUGCUGUUGCUGAGGGUGCAAAAGCUGCUGGUGCAUCCCGGAUUAUUGGCAUAGAUAUUGAUAGCAAGAAGUUGCAUAUAGGAAUAUUUAGAGGAUUUUGCAGCCCUUGAUCUAGUUCUUGGUCUAGACACUGAAGGUUUGUUGUGACUAUGAGCUUUAGCCUUUUGUGAGGGCUGAUCCACUUCCUUCCACACAUAUCCACUCUCUGUAAGGAUCUUGAAAUCUUGCUGGACAGAGGGAGCAUAACUAGCUAAACAGCUCUUGUUGAACAUUAUAGAAGUCAUCUAUUCGAUCAAGACAUGGGUCCGGCCAAAAGCUACUCGCACUCGGGGUCUUCGACUUAAGAUCCUUUGGUACAUGAGGCAGCAAAUCCUCUUGUUCAUCUUCAGAUUCGGUAGCAGCAUCUGCAAUGGCUGCAAAAUCCCACUUUUUAUGACAUUUUGUGCUUGUGCUAUGUCACCAUCAAUAUGCGAGACUAAAACUUGAUCCUGAUCAGACUGAUGGUGCUGAUUAUUAUCAUUUGAGAUGUCUUCCAAAGAUGGCAUGCCAUCUAAAGAAGAAUCGUUGUCACUUGCUAGUCCCCUAGAAGACUGAAGCUCACAUUCUGCUGGUGCAACACUAGAAAUUGCAUCCUUCUAACAGCUACAAGCUUGGAUCACCGCAUGAGAUUCUGGAACAGCUUCCGCAGCAGACACAGAAUAGGUGUCAUCAGCUAAGGCCGUUUUUGCAAUGACAGUUGAAUGAACCACUCGGUUUGCAGGAUCUUUAACCGAGUCAACGAUCACCAAAUUGACUGGCUGAUCAUCAAGCAAUGUAGAACUAUAAUCAGCAUUAGCAGGCUCCUCAACUGCAACAUCCGAAAUAAUAUUUGGAUCACUCCUAGCUACAUUAAACACAUACUUCUAUCUUAUAUCUUCUAUCUUAUAUGAGAAUAUUUUUAAAGAUUUUUUUUUUCUA